Molecule: unclassified non-coding RNA, 3948 nt
Filed under: Hevea brasiliensis (rubber tree)
Lineage: Eukaryota; Viridiplantae; Streptophyta; Magnoliopsida; Malpighiales; Euphorbiaceae
Source: RNAcentral
GAAUUUCUGGGGCAAAACAGCCUCCAAAAUCACAGAAAGAACAUUACAUAUUACAGAAAAAUAAGCCAAAAAAAGAGGGAAAAUAGAGAAUUAAAUGUGAUAUGAUUUAUAUAUGAUUGCAUAGGUGGGGGUGUUACUGCAGAUAUCUUGUUUGCAAGUCCAAAAAGAAAACAAAAGGGCAAAAUUUGCAUUCUCCAUAAAGAUUCCUCAGCUCAAUCUCUUAAAUCAUCGAUCGUGACUAUAUUGAAGAUUUCGAGACCAAAUUGCACUCCCCUUUUCCCAAAAAUUACACCUUUUUGCCAUCUGUUUUUCUCUCCGCGCCUCCUCCCUACCAUAAAUGCCCUCCUUCCCUAAAACCCUUCACUUCUCUCUUACUUCACUCAAUCCCUUCUCUAUUUUCUAUAUCACCAGCUCUCGCUGUUUCUGUCACUCUCCCGAGGAAGUUGCGAAUUUUACGGGAAAGUUAAAAUCUUUUCUUCCUUAAUGGAGGAAAAUGAGCCUCUGCCUGAACAUCUUCGCUGUAAGCGGACCGAUGGGAGGCAAUGGCGGUGCAAUAGGAGAGUCAUGGACGAUAAGAAGCUCUGCGAAAUUCACCAUCUCCAGGGCCGUCAUAGACAGUACAAGAGGAAAGUACCCGAGUCACUGAAAUUGCAAAGGAAGUACAGCAAGAAAUCAACGGCCAAUGCGGAUUCAUUGUCUCACAAUGUCGAAAUUAGGGCACAGAAAGAGGAAAGAUUAUCACGAUUGGUGAAAUUGGAGAAGCCUAUGAAGAGAAAGAAAUCGAUCGGUGAAUCUGAAGCGCUUGAUGAGGCUGUGAAGAAGAUGAGGCUAAAGAGAGGGGAUUUGCAGCUGGAACUAAUACGAAUGGUGUUGAAAAGAGAGGUAGAGAAGAGAAAGAAGAAGAAAAAGAAGAAAAAGAAGAAAGUUGUGGCAGAGGAGAUUAAUAGUGAUAUUGACAACGAAAUUGAUAGCAGUAAUAGUGAGGGAGAGUUAAUGAGAGAUUUGCCUAAUGGAUUAAUGGCAAUAUCUCCUGCUAAACAUUUUGGCAAUGUGGCUGCUGCUUCUUCUUCUACGCCCUGUGAUAUCAAAAUUGGAGCUGCUGAUUUCAGUGCUAUUACUAGAAGAUGUUUUCGGUCUAAAAACAUUGAGCCAAUGCCAAUUGGUGCAUUGCAGGUUGUGCCUUUCAAGAAGGAUAUGAUGAGAUUAAGGAGGGGAAGGAGGAAAAAGUGCCAUUUGUGUAGGAGAAGUGGUUUGAAGACGUUAAUAAUGUGUUCGAGUUGUAGAAAACAAUUCUAUUGCAUGGACUGCAUCAAAGACCAGUAUGUUUUUUCAGUAUCAACUUAUUUAAAUUGCCUUCAAUUCUCUGUUUCUUCACUUGUUUGUGUUAUCAGUUGUUAGCAUUCUGUAGUACAAAUAUUUGUGUUAUCACUUAGGACUUAGUUUGUGUUAUCAGUUGUCAGCAUUCUAUAGUACAAAUGUUUGUGUUAUCAGCAUUCUUCACUUGUUUGUGUAAUCAGUUAGGACUUAAGUCAUUGCUGAAUACAAUUCAAUGAACCAACAAAAGAAAGAACAAAGUAAGAAGGUACUGUUAGCCUAUGCAUCAGAAUUUAAUUAGUUAAAAACUAUAGAAACGUGAAUCUGUAAGAUGUAAUGUCAAUUCAUGUUUGUAAAACUGAAGUGCAUUAUCCUAUUACUCCACCCACUGAUGGUUUGGGAAGCAUUUUGUAUCCAGUAAACCAAAAUUCUGUUUUUUAUCCAGAUAUAACUCCAACUUGUGCUCAAAACAUCAUCUAUAAAUACAGGUCAAGUUUUUAAGGUUUUGGCCCUUUCUGUUUUGUUUGAACAAUUUGCAAUUUGGUUAGGAGCAGAACCCAAUUGGUAAAUUUUGAAGUUCAAAUUAAUUUAGGUAUUCUGAUAUGCAAGAAGAAGUUCAGAUAGCAUGUCCAGUUUGUCGAGGAACUUGUUGCUGUAAGGCCUGCUCAGCAAUUCAAUGUAGGGACAUUGAAUGUAAGGUCUGAUUUCGAAUUUGACUAAAUUAUGAACAUAUUCAUUUACAUUUCUACACUGAAUCUUGAUAUUUAAACUUACAUGAAAACGUGGUUUAGGGCUUCUCCAAGGACAAGAGUAAAGUCAACAAAGUUUUACAUUUUCAUUAUUUGAUCUGUAUGCUUCUUCCCGUACUUAAACAACUAAAUCAAGAUCAGAGCAUUGAGCUAGAAAUAGAGGCAAAAAUAAAAGGUACUCACGAUGGUUAUGCUUAUUGAUCUUCCGAAAUUGACUUUCACUACUAACCCACAAGGGAUGGUUCUUCUGAUGUCCUUCAGUCUGUAACAGGCCAGAAACCCGCAGAUGUUCAAAUCCACCUGGCAUCAGUUGGCUGCAAUAAGAAGUGUUGUUGCAAUAAUUGCAAGAGUUCCAUUGUGGAUUUCCAUAGAAGCUGCCCAAGCUGUUCCUAUAGCCUUUGCUUAAAUUGUUGUCAAGAUAUUUUUCAAGCAAGCUUACCUGGAAGUGUUAAAGCCCAUAUAUGCAAAUACCCUAAUCGAAGGAAAGCCUGUAAAUCUGGAAAGCAAAUUUCAGAGAUGAAGUCGGUAUGUGUCUCUAAGUGGAAUUAUGGCAAUAAAUAUUUAGAAUCGUCUAUGUUAUUGCCUAGUUGGGAAGUUCCUGAUGGUAAUGGUAUACCUUGCCCAUCCACAGAGUUUGGUGGUUGUGGUGAUAAUCUCCUUGAUUUAAGUUGUCUUUUCCCAUCAAGUUGGACCAAAGAACUGGAAAUAAGUGCGGAGGAAAUUAUUGGUUGGUAUGAGUUGCCAGAAACCUUGGACGUUUUCUCGCGCUGCUCAUUAUGUUUUGGGAUGGACUGUGAAGUUAAUGGGAUUAUGCAGUUGCAAGAAGCAGCUACAAGAGAAAAUUCUAAUGAUAACUUCCUGUAUUAUCCUACUGUUGUGGACAUCCACAGUGAUAACCUUGAACACUUUCAAAAGCAUUGGGGCAAAGGUCAACCUGUAAUUGUUCGUAACAUUCUUCAGGGUACAUCAGAUCUUAGUUGGGAUCCAAUAGUCAUGUUCUGCACUUAUCUUAAAAAUAAUGCUGCCAAGUCUGAGAGUGAGCAGGCUGCUGAUUCCUUGGACUGGUUUGAGGUAGAAAUUGGUAUUAGGCAACUGUUUAUGGGACCUUUUAAGGGUCCAAUACAUGCCAACAAGUGGCAUGAAAAACUAAAAUUGAAGGGUUGGCUUUCUUCCCAUUUAUUUCAAGAACAUUUUCCAGCUCAUUAUGCCGAAAUCCUUCAUGCUCUACCACUUCCAGAAUACAUGGACCCUGUUUCUGGUGUUUUAAACAUUGCUGCAGAAUUGCCACAAGAAAUCGUGAAGCCUGAUCUUGGCCCAUGUGUCUAUAUCUCUUAUGGUAGUGGUGAGAAUCUUGUUCAGGCUGAUUCUGUGGCAAAUUUACGUUAUGAUUCAUAUGAUAUGGUUAAUAUUUUGGCACACACCACUGAUGUCCCUGUAUCUUCAGAACAGCUUAACUAUAUAAGAAAGUUAAUGAAGAAACGCAAGGAACAAAAUGAAGUGAGCAGAGCAGCACCAAAUGAUGGGCAAAAUGUGGAAGAAGUAGGCUUACAUGAUAUGAUCACAGAAGAAAUGUGCUUACACAAGAAAGUUGCUAGAGUAUCUUGGUUUUCUGCUGCCAGUCACAAAGCACAAACAAGUCUCAAAAAUAGAGGCUUGUUCCUUGAUGGGGAACAUGAUUCUGAUUCUGAUACUGAUACAGAUACUGAAGUCUCAAAAUUUUUCUUUGGGCCUGUUAAAAGCUGUAGGACAUCAGAAAAUAUGAAUUUCUGUGGGAAGAAUACAGAUGGUUCGGAUCAUUUUAGAAAGCAAGAAGUUGCUGAGUAUUGUGGUGCCCAGUGGGAUGUCUUUCGUAGACAAGACAUUCCAAAGCUUGUUGAAUACCUGA